UUGCCUCAACGACUGCCAGUCCCAGGGAGAGCUGCGCGCGACAGGACCGUGGAUUUCACCGUUUUCCACAAUUCUGGAACACUCAGAAGAAAACGGUCCCCUCUGAAGAGAAAGGAAGGACUGGAGACCUCACAGACCAUGCACCUUCCGCGCACGAACUCCGGAGGGCCAGUCGCGAUCGUCCCCUGUCACUUGAGGUCACCACUGCAUAGCCUGGGGAGACACGGAGCUGCGGGCGCAGAGCUGUCGGUCCAGACUCGAGGGCCGAAGUUGCCGCGCGCAGAGACGCGACAGGACUCUGGAAUGCCAGCUGCCCGCCCCGCCCCCGCCCCCGCGCCGCGCGCCGGCGGGGCCUGAGGUCCGAGAGGCGCCCCCGACGCACUGGAGUCCCAGACUUCAGAGUUGUCCGCGGGGAAGCGAGAUCGCGCCACGGCCGCCUCCGGCCGGUUCCAAACAGCACUCCGCCCCCCUCUCUGGAAGCCCGGGCCUGCACACUCACCAUUUCUAGCUUUCCUGGGUCUCCCAGCGUUCCACCUGCGAUUUCUGGGGAAAGUACAGGUCUCAGUCAGGUAGAAUCAGAGGAAGAGCGACGCGGAAGUUUGGAGCGCAGGUAACCCGCGAUGCCAACAAUGGCGGGAGCCAGAGGCCUCCUGCGGUGCGCCUGCGGAGCGUCGCCCCACCCACCUGCCCUGACGUCUCCUCUGAUUGGGCAGCUUGCAAGGCCCGCCCCCUCUCCCUGGGGAGUGACGGCAGGCCAGAGGUUUGGUGUCUGGGGAGCACCGGUGGGGAACUCGUCGUCUCCAGGGGCCUUUACGUUGGAGGAGUUUAAAAACCCUGUUGCCUUCCAAGCGCUCAGCUGUGGUGGAAAGUUGGAACCCUAGUCCCAGCUGAGUAACGGACUCUUCCAAGACCUCACAGAGAGAGAGAGAGAGAGAGAGAGAGGCAGAGACACAGGCAGAGGGAGAAGCAGGCUC
This is a long non-coding RNA of Canis lupus familiaris (dog), 974 nucleotides long. RefSeq lists it as uncharacterized. The record is from RefSeq and is a predicted model, not a curated record. Lineage: Eukaryota; Metazoa; Chordata; Mammalia; Carnivora; Canidae. The transcript is spliced from 3 exons.